ACAAAAUAUCAGCGCAUUUGUUUGCACAGCCAACUGACGUCAUGACCACAGAGCAAUAUGACGUCCACUGCGUCCAGCGUUUUCUUAUAAAUUUUUAUA
Long non-coding RNA from Chrysoperla carnea, 99 nucleotides. RefSeq lists it as uncharacterized. The transcript has 3 exons. The record is from RefSeq and is a predicted model, not a curated record. Lineage: Eukaryota; Metazoa; Arthropoda; Insecta; Neuroptera; Chrysopidae.